CUGUUUUUGCCUCUGAACCACCAUACAGCUGAAGAAAUAUCCAGAAGUCUACUCUUGCCUUGUAUCCAGCACUGGGGGCUGGACGUUAUCUGAGACUGCUCCUGUCACUCAUGGUUCACCUGUGGCUGAUCACUGAUUAGCCAGGUAUAAGACACUGUCUCUCCCUGAGGGCAGUGUCAGUUUAUUGACUCUGUUCAAGUAUUGCUGUUUCGUGUUCGCCUGUUGAUUCCUGAGCUUGGCUUGUUAUUUUGUGUAC
Molecule: non-coding RNA, 256 nt
Organism: Pelobates cultripes (western spadefoot toad)
Lineage: Eukaryota; Metazoa; Chordata; Amphibia; Anura; Pelobatidae
Source: the annotation of a GenBank genome assembly